AAUAAAGUGCCUGAUAAAAAGGAUUAUUUUGAUAGAAUAAAUCAUGUAAUUAUUUACCUUUAUUA
This 65-nucleotide transfer RNA is filed under the name Eubasilissa regina. RNAcentral describes it as "tRNA-Ile". Lineage: Eukaryota; Metazoa; Arthropoda; Insecta; Trichoptera; Phryganeidae. The record is from RNAcentral. RNAcentral also lists the same sequence under 1 other name.